AAGACCUAUGAAAUAUUAACACAUAUCUCCUGAAUGCAACUCAAGCACUUUAAUUAAGCUAAAGCCUC
This 68-nucleotide transfer RNA is filed under the name Anolis anoriensis. RNAcentral's name for it is "tRNA-Ala". Lineage: Eukaryota; Metazoa; Chordata; Lepidosauria; Squamata; Anolidae. The record is from RNAcentral.